Molecule: ribosomal RNA, 305 nt
Filed under: uncultured bacterium
Lineage: Bacteria
Description: bacterial SSU rRNA
Rfam family: Bacterial small subunit ribosomal RNA
Source: RNAcentral
UUCCUACGGGGCGCAGCAGUGAGGAAUAUUGGUCAAUGGGCGCGAGCCUGAACCAGCCAAGUCGCGUGAAGGAUGACUGCCCUACGGGUUGUAAACUUCUUUUAUAAAGGAAUAAAGUGAGGCACGUGUGCCUUUUUGUAUGUACUUUAUGAAUAAGGAUCGGCUAACUCCGUGCCAGCAGCCGCUGUAAUACGGAGGAUCCGAGCGUUCUCCGGAUUUAUUGGGUUUAAAGGGAGCGUAGGUGGGUUGUUAAGUCCGUUGUGAAAGUUUGCGGCUCAACCGUAUAAUUGCACUUGAUCCUGUCC